AUCUAAUCUGCUCAAUGAUUUAAAAUUAAAUAGCUGCAGUAUUUUAACUGUACUAAGGUAGCAUAAUCAUUUGUCUUUUUAUUAAAGUCUGGAAUGAAUGAUUUAAUGAAAAAAUUUCUGUCUCAAAUUAAUAUAUAAAAUUUUAUUUUAAGUUAAAAUUCUUAAAAUUUAUUUAAAGACGAGAAGACCCUAUAGAAUUUUAUAAAAUUUUUUAUUUUAUUUUUAUUUAUUAUUUUAAAUUAAUAAAAAUUUUAUUUUAUUGGGGUAAUAAAAAAAUUUAAUUAAAUUUUUUAAUAAAUUUUCAUAAAUUUAUGUUAAAAUUUUUAUAUCCAAAUAUUUUUGAAUUUAAAAUUAAUUACCUUAGGGAUAACAGCGUAAUUUUUUUAGAAAGUUCAUAUUGAUAAAAAAGUUUGCGACCUCGAUGUUGAAUUAAGAUAAAAUUUUAAUGUAGAAAUUAAAAAUU
Molecule: ribosomal RNA, 463 nt
Filed under: Aphelinus asychis
Lineage: Eukaryota; Metazoa; Arthropoda; Insecta; Hymenoptera; Aphelinidae
Description: partial 16S ribosomal RNA
Source: RNAcentral